This 504-nucleotide ribosomal RNA is filed under the name uncultured bacterium. Its description in RNAcentral is "partial 16S ribosomal RNA". It matches the Rfam family "Bacterial small subunit ribosomal RNA", at positions 29 to 523 of the family's 1533-position model. The record is from RNAcentral.
AUUGAACGCUGGCGGCAGGCCUAACACAUGCAAGUCGAGCGGAAGCACAGGGAGCUUGCUCCUGGGUGACGAGCGGCGGACGGGUGAGUAAUGUCUGGGAAACUGCCUGAUGGAGGGGGAUAACUACUGGAAACGGUAGCUAAUACCGCAUAACGUCGCAAGACCAAAGAGGGGGACCUUCGGGCCUCUUGCCAUCAGAUGUGCCCAGAUGGGAUUAGCUAGUAGGUGGGGUAACGGCUCACCUAGGCGACGAUCCCUAGCUGGUCUGAGAGGAUGACCAGCCACCCUGGAACUGAGACACGGUCCAGACUCCUACGGGAGGCAGCAGUGGGGAAUAUUGCACAAUGGGCGCAAGCCUGAUGCAGCCAUGCCGCGUGUAUGAAGAAGGCCUUCGGGUUGUAAAGUACUUUCAGCGGGGAGGAAGGUGCUGAGGUUAAUAACCUCAGCAAUUGACGUUACCCGCAGAAGAAGCACCGGCUAACUCCGUGCCAGCCGCCGCGGUAA